Molecule: long non-coding RNA, 964 nt
Filed under: Homo sapiens (human)
Lineage: Eukaryota; Metazoa; Chordata; Mammalia; Primates; Hominidae
Description: novel transcript
Source: RNAcentral
ACUUCCUUUUCAAUGGAAUGCCUACAAGAAAUGCUAAAGUUUUGCUAUCAGGAUGAUACUGGCCUCAUAAAAUGAGUUAGUGAGGAGUGCCUCUUUUUCUUUGUUUGGAAGAGUUCCAGAAGGAAUGGUGCCAGCUCCUCUUUGUACCUCUACUAGAAUUUGGCUACGGAGUUUUGCUCUUGUAGCCCAGGCUGGAGUCCAAUGGUGCGAUCUUGGCUCACUGCAACCGCCGCCUCCCAGGUUCAAGCGAUUCUUCCGUCUCAGCCUUCCGAGUAGCUGGGAUUACAGGUGCACGUCACCACGCCCAGCACAUUUUUGUAUAUUUUUAGUAGAGACAGGAUUUCACCAUUGUUGGCCAGGCUAGUCUAGAACUCCUUUAGAGCUCUUCUCCUUAAGGGAGAAGAUUUAUUAUUCUCGAGGAUAAUAAAUCGAGGAGGAAGAUUUACUAUCCUUGAAGGGGUCUGUUUUGGAAGCUGCCAUGCCCUCAGCCCCUAAAUAAAAAUAUAAAACCUAAAUAUAAAAGGUGCCAUGCCCUCAGCCCCUAAAUAUAAAUAUAAGGAUCCAAUUUUUUGGAUCCACUAUAAGGAUCCAAAGGUCAGUUCUAGAACUCGUGAGGUCUCCUUUUUUUGGAUCCAAUAUAAGGAUCCAAUUAUUUUCUUCUGCAUGUAAAUACCCAAUUUUUAAAUGCCAUUUAUUUAAGAGAUUGCCCAUUUCUCAUUGUGUGUUCUUGAAAUUUCUGUCAAAAAUCAAUUGACUGUAAAUGGGCAGGUUUAUGGGCUUUCUAUCCUGUUCCAUAAGUCAACGUGUCUGUUUUUAUGCUAACGCCAUGUUGUUUUGAUGCAAUUACUUUAUACUUUGAAGUCAAGUAGAGUGAUGCUGCCAAUUUUAUUCUUUUUGCUAAGGAUUAUUUUGGCUACUUGGCAUCUUUUGAGGUUCAAUGUGAAUUAAAAGUUUGUGUUCUCCA